GAUGAACGCUAGCUACAGGCUUAACACAUGCAAGUCGAGGGGCAGCAUUUUCAGUUUUGCUUGCAAACUGGAGAUGGCGACCGGCGCGACGGGUGAGUAACACGUAUCCAACCUGCCGAUAACGUCGGGGAUAGCCUUUACGAAAGAAAGAUUAAUACCCGAUGGUAUAAUUAGACCGCAUGGUCUUGUUAAUUAAAGUAAUUUCGGUUAUCGAGUGGGGAUGUCGUUCCAUUAGGCUAGUUGGUGAGGUAACGGCUCACCUAAACCUUCGAUGGAUAGGGGGUUCUGAGAGG
Molecule: ribosomal RNA, 293 nt
Filed under: uncultured bacterium
Lineage: Bacteria
Description: partial 16S ribosomal RNA
Rfam family: Bacterial small subunit ribosomal RNA
Source: RNAcentral